RNAcentral lists this ribosomal RNA (464 nucleotides) under Vreelandella stevensii. RNAcentral describes it as "partial 16S ribosomal RNA". It matches the Rfam family "Bacterial small subunit ribosomal RNA", at positions 338 to 795 of the family's 1533-position model. Lineage: Bacteria; Pseudomonadati; Pseudomonadota; Gammaproteobacteria; Oceanospirillales; Halomonadaceae. The record is from RNAcentral.
CCUACGGAGGCAGCAGUGGGGAAUAUUGGACAAUGGGCGAAAGCCUGAUCCAGCCAUGCCGCGUGUGUGAAGAAGGCCUUCGGGUUGUAAAGCACUUUCAGUGGGGAAGAAAGCCUUGGGGCUAAUACCCUCGAGGAAGGACAUCACCCACAGAAGAAGCACCGGCUAACUCCGUGCCAGCAGCCGCGGUAAUACGGAGGGUGCGAGCGUUAAUCGGAAUUACUGGGCGUAAAGCGCGCGUAGGCGGUCUGAUAAGCCGGUUGUGAAAGCCCCGGGCUCAACCUGGGAACGGCAUCCGGAACUGUCAGGCUAGAGUGCAGGAGAGGAAGGUAGAAUUCCCGGUGUAGCGGUGAAAUGCGUAGAGAUCGGGAGGAAUACCAGUGGCGAAGGCGGCCUUCUGGACUGACACUGACGCUGAGGUGCGAAAGCGUGGGUAGCAAACAGGAUUAGAUACCCCGGUAGUC